AGCAUGGUGUAGCAAUACACUGAUGGCGACCGGCAAACGGGUGCGGAACACGUACGCAACCUUCCUUUAAGUGUGGGAUAGCCCGGGGAAACCCGGAUUAAUACCACGUAACAUCAUGAGACGGCAUCGUUUUAUGAUUAUAGUUCCGACGCUUAAAGAUGGGCGUGCGCCUGAUUAGGUAGUUGGCGGGGUAACGGCCCACCAAGCCUACGAUCAGUAACUGGUGUGAGAGCACGACCAGUCACACGGGCACUGAGACACGGGCCCGACUCCUACGGGAGGCAGCAGUAAGGAAUAUUGGUCAAUGGACGCAAGUCUGAACCAGCCAUGCCGCGUGGAGGAUGAAGGUCCUCUGGAUUGUAAACUUCUUUUAUUUGGGAAGAAACCCACUGAUUCUUCGGUGGUUGACGGUACCAAGUGAAUAAGCACCGGCUAACUCCGUGCCAGCAGCCGCGGUAAUACGGAGGGUGCAAGCGUUAUCCGGAUUCACUGGGUUUAAAGGGUGCGUAGGUGGGCUAGUAAGUCCGUGGUGAAAUCUCCGAGCUUAACUCGGAAACUGCCGUGGAUACUAUUAGUCUUGAAUAUCGUGGAGGUAAGCGGAAUAUGUCAUGUAGCGGUGAAAUGCUUAGAUAUGACAUAGAACACCGAUAGCGAAGGCAGCUUGCUACACGAUCAUUGACACUGAGGCACGAAAGCGUGGGGAUCAAACAGGAUUAGAUACCCUGGUAGUCCACGCCCUAAACGAUGGAUACUCGACAUACGCGAUACACAGUGUGUGUCUGAGCGAAAGCA
RNAcentral lists this ribosomal RNA (792 nucleotides) under Flavitalea sp. Its description in RNAcentral is "bacterial SSU rRNA". It matches the Rfam family "Bacterial small subunit ribosomal RNA", at positions 68 to 859 of the family's 1533-position model. The record is from RNAcentral. Lineage: Bacteria; Pseudomonadati; Bacteroidota; Chitinophagia; Chitinophagales; Chitinophagaceae.